This 216-nucleotide long non-coding RNA is filed under the name Vitis vinifera (wine grape). RNAcentral describes it as "long non-coding RNA (VVIN_LNC008156)". The record is from RNAcentral. Lineage: Eukaryota; Viridiplantae; Streptophyta; Magnoliopsida; Vitales; Vitaceae.
CAACUUUCAUCUCCUUCAUUCUUGUUUCCAUCGGCACCGACACAACUCCCACUUCACCCUCUAAAAAUCCAAAACCCAAGGUAAGCGCUCUCUCUUAAUAUUUUUUCCAUAAAUGGCUUCAUCUCAGAGACUUUGUAGCAUUAAUAAAACAACCAAAAUAAAAAACCCCUUCAAUUUCCAACUUAGACUACUCUAUUUCACAGGUCAAUGCUUCCC